ACGACGCUGGCGGCGUGCCUAAUACAUGCAAGUCGAACGGUCUUUCUAUGGAAGCUUGCUUCCACUGAGAAGAUAGUGGCGAACGGGUGAGUAACACGUGGGUAACCUGCCCAUAAGAGGGGGAUAACAUCCGGAAACGGGUGCUAAUACCGCAUAGUUUUCUUGAUCGCAUGAUUGAGAAAGGAAAGAUGGCCUUUGUGCUGUCGCUUAUGGAUGGACCCGCGGCGUAUUAGUUAGUUGGUGAGGUAACGGCUCACCAAGACGAUGAUACGUAGCCGACCUGAGAGGGUGAUCGGCCACAUUGGGACUGAGACACGGCCCAAACUCCUACGGGAGGCAGCAGUAGGGAAUCUUCCGCAAUGGACGAAAGUCUGACGGAGCAACGCCGCGUGAGUGAAGAAAGGUUUUCGGAUCGUAAAACUCUGUUGUCAGAGAAGAACAAGUUGGAGAGUAACUGCUCCAGCCUUGACGGUAUCUGACCAGAAAGCCACGGCUAACUACGUGCCAGCCGCCGC
Molecule: ribosomal RNA, 515 nt
Filed under: uncultured bacterium
Lineage: Bacteria
Description: bacterial SSU rRNA
Rfam family: Bacterial small subunit ribosomal RNA
Source: RNAcentral